Molecule: ribosomal RNA, 833 nt
Filed under: uncultured bacterium
Lineage: Bacteria
Description: bacterial SSU rRNA
Rfam family: Bacterial small subunit ribosomal RNA
Source: RNAcentral
CCCUUAGAGUUUGAUCCUGGCUCAGAGCGAACGCUGGCGGCAGGCUUAACACAUGCAAGUCGAACGGAUCCUUCGGGAUUAGUGGCGGACGGGUGAGUAACACGUGGGAACGUGCCCUUAGGUUCGGAACAACACAGGGAAACUUGUGCUAAUACCGGAUGUGCCUCGUAAGAGGGAAAGAUUUAUCGCCUUUGGAGCGGCCCGCGUCUGAUUAGCUUGUUGGUGAGGUAAAGGCUCACCAAGGCUACGAUCAGUAGCUGGUCUGAGAGGAUGGCCAGCCACAUUGGGACUGAGACACGGCCCAAACUCCUACGGGAGGCAGCAGUGGGGAAUCUUGCGCAAUGGGCGAAAGCCUGACGCAGCCAUGCCGCGUGGAUGAUGAAGGUCUUAGGAUUGUAAAAUCCUUUCACCGGGGACGAUAAUGACGGUACCCGGAGAAGAAGCCCCGGCUAACUUCGUGCCAGCAGCCGCGGUAAUACGAAGGGGGCUAGCGUUGCUCGGAAUUACUGGGCGUAAAGGGCGCGUAGGCGGACAGUUUAGUUGGGGGUGAAAGCCCGGGGCUCAACCUCGGAAUUGCCUUCAAUACUGGCUGUCUUGAGUGUGAGAGAGGUGUGUGGAACUCCGAGUGUAGAGGUGAAAUUCGUAGAUAUUCGGAAGAACACCAGUGGCGAAGGCGACACACUGGCUCACUACUGACGCUGAGGCGCGAAAGCGUGGGGAGCAAACAGGAUUAGAUACCCUGGUAGUCCACGCUGUAAACGAUGAGUGCUAGUUGUCGGGCGGCAUGCCGUUCGGUGACGCAGCUAACGCAUUAAGCACUCCGCCUGGGGAGU